Molecule: ribosomal RNA, 465 nt
Filed under: uncultured Klebsiella sp.
Lineage: Bacteria; Pseudomonadati; Pseudomonadota; Gammaproteobacteria; Enterobacterales; Enterobacteriaceae
Description: bacterial SSU rRNA
Rfam family: Bacterial small subunit ribosomal RNA
Source: RNAcentral
CCUACGGGGGGCUGCAGUGGGGAAUCUUGCACAAUGGGCGCAAGCCUGAUGCAGCCAUGCCGCGUGUGUGAAGAAGGCCUUCGGGUUGUAAAGCACUUUCAGCGGGGAGGAAGGCGUUAAGGUUAAUAACCUUGGCGAUUGACGUUACCCGCAGAAGAAGCACCGGCUAACUCCGUGCCAGCAGCCGCGGUAAUACGGAGGGUGCAAGCGUUAAUCGGAAUUACUGGGCGUAAAGCGCACGCAGGCGGUCUGUCAAGUCGGAUGUGAAAUCCCCGGGCUCAACCUGGGAACUGCAUUCGAAACUGGCAGGCUAGAGUCUUGUAGAGGGGGGUAGAAUUCCAGGUGUAGCGGUGAAAUGCGUAGAGAUCUGGAGGAAUACCGGUGGCGAAGGCGGCCCCCUGGACAAAGACUGACGCUCAGGUGCGAAAGCGUGGGGAGCAAACAGGAUUAGAUACCCUAGUAGUC